RNAcentral lists this non-coding RNA (29 nucleotides) under Bombyx mori (domestic silkworm). Lineage: Eukaryota; Metazoa; Arthropoda; Insecta; Lepidoptera; Bombycidae. The record is from RNAcentral.
UACCCAAGUAAACAUACAACUGACAUGGG